CUUUACUGUAACCUGGUAUUGGGUUCGGGCUUUGACUGCGCAGGAUAGGUGGGAGACUACGAAGCAAUCCUUGUGGGGAUUGUGGAGUCAACAGUGAGAUACCACUCUGUCAGAGCUAGAAUUCUAACCUUCACCCGUUAUCCGGGGAAGGAACCGUAUCAGGCGGGCAGUUUGACUGGGGCGGUCGCCUCCUAAAUGGUAACGGAGGCGCGCAAAGGUGUUCUCAGGCUGGUUGGAAAUCAGCCGCAGAGUGUAAAGGCAGAAGAACGCUUGACUGUGAGAGUGACAACUCGAGCAGGGUGGAAACACGGCCUUAGUGAUCCGACGGCUUGUGCGUGGAAAUGCCGUCGCUCAACGGAUAAAAGUUA
Molecule: ribosomal RNA, 368 nt
Filed under: uncultured organism
Description: bacterial LSU rRNA
Rfam family: Bacterial large subunit ribosomal RNA
Source: RNAcentral